RNAcentral lists this transfer RNA (68 nucleotides) under Nihonogomphus lieftincki. RNAcentral describes it as "tRNA-Asn". Lineage: Eukaryota; Metazoa; Arthropoda; Insecta; Odonata; Gomphidae. The record is from RNAcentral.
UUAAUUGAAGCCAAAUCAGAGGCAUAUCACUGUUAAUGAUAAAAAUGAACUUCUAAGUUCCAAUUAAG